AUUAGGGACGCUCAGUCAGAUGAGGCAACAGAGGGUGAGUAAACACUGAGAAGCUUGGUGCUGGUAUACUCACACAAUUGACCCAAAGCAGAAGUCAGCAGGAAUGGGAGCUGCAACAAAGCACGAAGAAGAGAAAACAGAAAACAUCCAUUGAAUCCUCUGCCUCUGGUAAUGUAUGGCUCCCAGUAUGCCUCCUUCAAGAGCAUGACUGACCCAAUUACUAGUAUGAGCAAAAGAAAGUUUCAGAAAGGUGAUGAAAUUUAAGCUGGGCUUUAAAGGCUACAUCAAAUUUGACAAAUGGAAUUGUGAGGAAAGCACAUUAGAAGUAAAGAGUGAACCCACAAAAACAAGAGAACAUCAUGUUUCUAGAGGCUGCCUGCAUUCCUUGGCUAAUGACUUUGCAUCACUCUGACGUCUUGCUCCCAUGGUCGUAUCACCUACUACUGGCCCUGAUCUCACUACUUGUUAUAUGGAACAAAGGGAUAAGGAAGUGACUUGCCUAAGUCACUGAGGAACCUAAUAUUGAGAUUAGCACUCAAUGAUUCCUGGCUCUCAGAAUGUGUGCUGCUACCACCAGGCCACACUCUUCCCUCCAGAGAGAAGAUGUGUCAGCACGGAAUUGUGCUGAAGCAAAGAUGUGAAAUAGAAUGAUUACAUAUCUACCUAGUGGGAAGAUCUGGGGAAGAAUCUAUCAGUGCUGGCAGAGAAGCAAACCAUACGACAUCACUCAUCCCCAGAAAGUGAAGUUAAGGGAAAUAAAAAACAAUCUACACCAUUUAGAAAACACAGCCACCCCAUACCCUUGGAAAAAAUACACUAAAAUAUCUUCAUCUGAUUUGACCUCUAAUAACAUGAAUAAUUGUCUUAUAACUCACUUUCUUACCUCUUGAUUAUUCUACAGAUCCGGCACAUAUGAGCAAAAUCUGAUGAAAUUCACUCAUUUAAUUUGAAGAUUUUAAUUAUGUAGAAAAAGUAGGUUCGCAUUCUUUCUUAUUAAUAGAGUUCAAAAGACUUAAGGCCUAGAGUCUAGCUUCAGCUAUUAAAAUUAUACAUCAGC
This 1057-nucleotide long non-coding RNA is filed under the name Homo sapiens (human). RNAcentral's name for it is "long independently transcribed non-coding RNA 2326, transcript variant 2 (LINC02326)". Lineage: Eukaryota; Metazoa; Chordata; Mammalia; Primates; Hominidae. The record is from RNAcentral.